RNAcentral lists this ribosomal RNA (209 nucleotides) under uncultured bacterium. Its description in RNAcentral is "partial 16S ribosomal RNA". It matches the Rfam family "Bacterial small subunit ribosomal RNA", at positions 568 to 775 of the family's 1533-position model. The record is from RNAcentral.
UUCGUAGGUGGCCAACUAAGCCAGACGUGAAAUCCCUCAGCUUAACUGGGGAACUGCGUCUGGGACUGGAUGGCUUGAGCGCAGGAGAGGAACGCGGAAUUCCAGGUGUAGCGGUGAAAUGCGUAGAUAUCUGGAGGAAUACCGGUGGCGAAGGCGGCGUUCUGGACUGCAACUGACACUGAGGAACGAAAGCCAGGGAAGGCAAACCG